Molecule: long non-coding RNA, 1067 nt
Organism: Alligator sinensis (Chinese alligator)
Lineage: Eukaryota; Metazoa; Chordata; Crocodylia; Alligatoridae
Exons: 4
Source: RefSeq, a predicted model, not a curated record
GGUAGAGGGGGCAGGGGUUGGUGCCCCCCACCCUCUCACCGGGGCUGGGGCCUGGGUUUGGGGCGGCCUUGGCUCUGCCAAAUGGGGUCUCUGAACACCUGGGUUUCCCCUUCCACAGGACACCUGGGUUCUUCCCCUGCUGUUAGGUAGUAAAAUGGGAUCCCGGACUAGUAUUAAAGCAUUGACAUGACACCUCAUUGGAUAAGUGACAGAAAGGCUUUAUGCACUUCAAGUAUCCUAGGUUAAAUGAGUCCAAACGGAAGCGAAGUCCAGUAUUUAUCUGCAAGGUGAUCGUUUCUCACCAAACAGGCAACAGGGAGAGGCCAUCGGAUUCUUCUCAGCUUCUCAAGAGCUGGCGCAGCGGGAGUUCGUGUCCGAGAUUUCUCACUCCUGUUAGCUGUUUCCUUCCUCUUACCCUUUAGCAUCUUCAAAGUGUUCCUGCAGUUAUGUAAAUAGAGAGAGAGGUUCACCCAGUAACUGCCUGGAAAACCCCCUUAAUCAAACUGCUCGUUAAUGGUUAUCAGAAAGUUUCAAUUUGAGUGAAUUAGUACUAAGUUUGGAACCUAUCAAGGAACUGAUUAAUGGGAAUCCUGGUUUUCUUUGAUUGGGGGAUGUAGCAGGGCACUAAGGUGCCUGCUCCUCUUAGAGCAGAGAUAAGAACCCAGGUGCAAGUUGCCAGGACAACCGGUUAAGGAGGGAAUUGGCCGCACCUGCACCUGGUCAGCUGGCAGGAGGAGGCAGGGCCCUAGGCCCCAUAUAAACCCCAGGGCUGGGACCAGGUAGUUAGUCCCUUACCAGCAGCCAAAGGGGAAGGAGCCUCCAUGAGAAGGAAGGGCCCAGAGAUGUGGUAGCUGGCAGGACCAGAUGCAUCCCCCAAGAGCACCCUCCCCUGGAUCCAGUUCUCCAAGGACUCCCCUCCCGGCUUCUCCUUCUGGACCUGGCUGGAGGGGAUCUUGGAGCUGAUCCAUAAGCACCUCGCCUCGCUGUGGAAGGAUGGGCUGAUCUUGGGCUUUGUGAGCAAGAAGCGGGAGCGGCAGCUGCUGCGGCGGCGGCAGACUGGGACCUUC